This is a non-coding RNA of Caenorhabditis elegans, 98 nucleotides long. The record is from Ensembl. Lineage: Eukaryota; Metazoa; Nematoda; Chromadorea; Rhabditida; Rhabditidae.
UUUUCGAAGGGAAAAUAACUUCAACUUUUCUGAAACUUCAGAUAAAUUACUCUAUUCUGUAAAAAAUUCGUUAAUUCUAAACAUCAAUUUUAAUAGCG